UGCAAAUCCUUUAUCCCCAGUUCAAAUCUGGGUGCCGCCU
RNAcentral lists this transfer RNA (40 nucleotides) under Pseudoroegneria spicata. RNAcentral's name for it is "partial tRNA-Cys". The record is from RNAcentral. Lineage: Eukaryota; Viridiplantae; Streptophyta; Magnoliopsida; Poales; Poaceae.